ACCAAGAAUUCCACCUACCUCUCCCACACUCUAGAAUAGUAGUUUCAAAUGCAGUUCUAUGGUUAAGCCAUAGGAUUUCACACCUGACUGACUAUCCCGCCUACGCGCUCUUUACGCCCAGUGAUUCCGAGUAACGCUUGCACCCUCCGUAUUACCGCGGCUGCUGGCACGGAGUUAGCCGGUGCUUAUUCGUUAGAUACCGUCAUUAUCUUCUCUAACAAAAGGAGUUUACAAUCCUAAAACCUUCAUCCUCCACGCGGCGUUGCUGCUUCAGGGUUUCCCCCAUUGAGCAAUAUUCCCUACUGCUGCCUCCCGUAGGAGUCUGGACCGUGUCUCAGUUCCAGUGUGUCCGUUCACCCUCUCAGGCCGGAUACCCGUCAUAG
This 383-nucleotide ribosomal RNA is filed under the name Helicobacter pylori. Its description in RNAcentral is "partial 16S ribosomal RNA". Lineage: Bacteria; Pseudomonadati; Campylobacterota; Epsilonproteobacteria; Campylobacterales; Helicobacteraceae. The record is from RNAcentral.